This is a long non-coding RNA of Brassica oleracea var. oleracea, 899 nucleotides long. RefSeq lists it as uncharacterized. NCBI's taxonomy places the organism in Eukaryota, Viridiplantae, Streptophyta, Magnoliopsida, Brassicales, Brassicaceae. The record is from RefSeq and is a predicted model, not a curated record. The transcript has 3 exons.
AAAUAUUGCUUAUCUUUUCUCUGUGGAUUAUGUUCUGCUUCAAUCAAAAAUAUCUUAUUCUUUGAAUUUCGUUUCAGUCAGUGAGCUCGAUGCGGCUUCUGAUUACGGGGCAAGCUAUUGACGGAUACAGUGAACAAGAUGAUGAAAUCAGAUUUCUCGGUUUGUGGUAGUCUGAUCGACGAUGUGGUAGAUCGAAUAAAUGAUAUUGUUUCCUCCAUGGAUGUGUCUGAUGAACGCAAGUCGUGUCCUUUUGUUCUGGAAAGCACACAAAAUCUCGACUCUCCCUUGAAAAUUUGUGUCUUCUAAGGAAAUGCUCCAGAUGAUGAUGUAGACAUGUGAAACCAGUCAAAGAUUCUUGCUUCAAAUUCUGUGUGGAGUCUCUGAUGCGAAAAUCAAACAAAAUAUGAGGAUAAAGUUGUCUCAAUGAUGGAUCACAAAGGCGCCGUCAAUUGUCAACACAGUUUGAGGGUAAAUUUGUCUCGAGUAUUAUGACAAGGCUCAUUAGGUUCUUUGUUAUCUUUGAAGAAAUUCUGGUAUUGUGCCGAUGAGCAGACAAGUCGAUGCAUCAGGUCUGGAAAAUCAACAUGGGGAAUUGCCUGAGAAUGAGUUGUUUUCAGGUUUCAAGACUCUUAAGUCCAGUCAGACUUCAAAGAGAGGCUUGGGAUGCUUCCGUUGAGUUCAUUAUUAGAAAUAUUAAGGACCUUUAGAUUCUUUAAAUCAGACAAAGUCGCUGGUAAGUAAUAAUGGACCCGGGAGGUGGUUAAGUUAAGUUAGAGAUGAGUAAGGUUAUUGAUGUUGAUGAUUAAAGAAACUGGCUUUUGUUUCUCUGUAACAAAUAACUCUUUAGCUGAAGAAUAUUUGGAGAUUAAAAAUGUGUUAUAAUUGUAAAAUUGAAAAGA